Molecule: ribosomal RNA, 253 nt
Filed under: uncultured bacterium
Lineage: Bacteria
Description: partial 16S ribosomal RNA
Rfam family: Bacterial small subunit ribosomal RNA
Source: RNAcentral
UACGUAGGGCGCAAGCGUUAUCCGGAAUUAUUGGGCGUAAAGAGCUCGUAGGCGGUUUGUUGCGUCCGCUGUGAAAACCCGGGGCUUAACCCUGGGCUGGCAGUGGAUACGGACAGACUAGAGGUAGGUAGGGGAGAAUGGAAUUCCCGGUGUAGCGGUGAAAUGCGCAGAUAUAUGGAGGAACACCAAUGGCGAAGGCAGCUUGCUGGACAGUUAUUGACGCUGAGAUGCGAAAGCGUGGGGAGCAAACAGG